This is a non-coding RNA of Pelobates cultripes (western spadefoot toad), 263 nucleotides long. Lineage: Eukaryota; Metazoa; Chordata; Amphibia; Anura; Pelobatidae. The record is from the annotation of a GenBank genome assembly.
AUCCCGCAAUCCAUGAACCAGUUUAGUAGCCCUUCUCUGAACCCUCUCUAAGGUAUCAAUAUCCUUCUGAAGAUACGGUCUCCAGUACUGUGUACAAUACUCCAAGUGAGGUCUCACCAGUGUUCUGUACAAUGGCAUGAGCACUUCCCUCUUUCUACUGCUAAUACCGCUCCCUAUACAACCAAGCAUUCUGCUAGCAUUUCCUGCUGCUCUAUUACAUUGUCUGCCUACCUUUAAGUCAUCAGAAAUAAUCACCCCUAAAU